CACGUAGUUAGUCGUGGCUUUCUUGAAAAGUACCGUCAAGUAGAACUCAUUUCCUAAUUCUACCAUUCUUUCUUAACAACAGAGUUUUACAACCCAUAGGGCCUUCAUCACUCACGCGGCAUUGCUCGUUCACGGGUUUCCCCCAUUGACGAAUAUUCCUAACUGCUGUCUCCCGUAGGAGUCUGGGCCGUGUCUCAGUCCCAGUGUGGCCGAUUAACCUCUCAGUUCGGCUACGCAUCGCUGUCUUGGUAGGCCAUUACCCCACCAACUAACUAAUACGCCGCAGGCCCAUCUCUAAGCGAAGCUUUAAGGGCUUCUUUACUCCGUAGAGCACAUUCGGUAUUAUCAACCGUUUCCAGUUGUUACUCCCCAAUUAGAGGCAGGUAACCCAGUCGUUAACUCACCCGUUUGCCACUAGGUGGAAAAUCCAAAUCCAUCUUUGUGCAAGCACUCAGACUUCAAGUGGGCCACUCGUCGACUUGCAUGUCUUAGGCAGUGCCGCCAGUCCGUUCAUCCUGACGUCCAA
RNAcentral lists this ribosomal RNA (526 nucleotides) under uncultured bacterium. RNAcentral's name for it is "partial 16S ribosomal RNA". The record is from RNAcentral.